AAUGACUUUAGAUUUGUUAAUUUUAAGUACGAGGUGAAGAGAUGCAUGGGAAUACCCUGUUCUCACCUCAGUUUGUUCCAUCUGCAUAAGCUAUUUUAUCUUUCAAUACCCCUUUUGAUUUUUUUCAUUUUGGUCCUUGAAUAAAUUAAGGAUCAUUUAAAAUAAAUAAAUGUCGACUUCGAGAUACUAUUAAAUAUAUUCUUUGCAAUUCGUCCGAUGGGAAAUUGGUACAAAUCAGUCUCCAAAGAACUCAGAUCAGGAUUCUAGCCAGAUUUGAAGAGAAACAGACUUCAGAUAGAUAUGGUUUUCAGGUAAGAAAAGGUAGGAAUUCUCGUCAGCCCCCAAACAAUGAUUUUACUUGCUUGGUGACACAGUUGACCUUUCUCUGCAGGGCCAUGGUCUUCUAAGUACCUCUGCUCUAAUUAUAUCUUGCUAUACCCACGAAUUUGAUUGUUGUUCUAUUUCCAUGGAUCAUUAAUUUCCCAUUCCAGCAGAGAUUCCCUGUAGUCAAGUUCCUGAGGGGUAGCUGCUUGUUAUUUUCUCUUUCAAUCAUGUGCAUUUUAUAUUUACUAUUAAAUUUUUGAAUAAUGACACCUUCUCCAAGCGGCUGUAAGUUUGGCUGUGAUGAACCUCUCCGGAGAAGCCUGUGAGCUUUCACAUCUGCUGGAAAACUCUGGGGAGAAUCUUUCUAAUGAGGAAUUCCUGGAACAAGAAAUUACAGAUGAUCUCUUUUUCAGAAGACAUGGCAAGCAAGUGAAUGCCUUUUUCUCCCAUCAGAGAAGAAGUCAACCUCUCUGUUCAACUUUUUGGUGGAGGCUACCAUCCAGUUUCUAG
Molecule: long non-coding RNA, 834 nt
Filed under: Sus scrofa (pig)
Lineage: Eukaryota; Metazoa; Chordata; Mammalia; Artiodactyla; Suidae
Description: lncRNA (ENSSSCG00015057673.1)
Source: RNAcentral